RNAcentral lists this ribosomal RNA (374 nucleotides) under uncultured organism. Its description in RNAcentral is "partial 16S ribosomal RNA". It matches the Rfam family "Bacterial small subunit ribosomal RNA", at positions 527 to 896 of the family's 1533-position model. The record is from RNAcentral.
GUAGGUGGCAAGCGUUGUCCGGAAUUAUUGGGCGUAAAGCGCGCGCAGGUGGGUUCUUUAAGUCUGAUGUGAAAGCCCCCGGGCUCAACCGGGGAGGGUCAUUGGAAACUGGGGAACUUGAGUGCAGGAGAGGAAAGUGGAAUUCCACGUGUAGCGGUGAAAUGCGUAGAUAUGUGGAGGAACACCAGUGGCGAAGGCGACUUUCUGGCCUGUAACUGACACUGAGGCGCGAAAGCGGGGGGAGCAAACAGGAUUAGAUACCCUGGUAGUCCACGCCGUAAACGAUGAGUGCUAAGUGUUGGGGGGUUUCCGCCCCUCAGUGCUGCAGCUAACGCAUUAAGCACUCCGCCUGGGGAGUACGGUCGCAAAGACUG